UAAUCAACACUUUGUUUUAUUCUUGAGUAGAUCCUUCAAUGCCUAUCAAUUCAAGGGCUAACAUCAUCUGGAGGCAGUAACUCUGGUAGUGUAGAUGGACAGAAUAGUAGUGGAGUUUCAAGAUCGAUUGUGAAAGACAGGUUUAAGAUAUUCAAUGUGCAGUUUGAAGAGCUUCAUCAACGGCAAACUCAAUGGACUGUUCCAGAUACUGAGUUGCGAGAGUCAUUGAGGCUUGCGGUCGCUGAAGUUUUGCUGCCUGCAUACAGAUCUUUCAUUAAACGCUUUGGGCCUUUAGUUGAGAGUGGUAAAAACUCCCAAAAGUACAUCAGAUAUUCAGCUGAAGAUCUUGACCGUAUGCUUGGUGAAUUCUUUGAGGGUAAGACGUUAAAUGAGCCCAAACGGUGAACCUCAGCUAGCCACUUUUGAGGUCAGCUAUGCUCUCUGCACUAUCCUCUCCUCUGCCAUUGCUGAUAUAGUUGCUACAUGGUUGAGUUCUUGCACCAAAUUGGUGGCAGCAUUAUGGUUCUCCAUUCACUACUCUAUGUUCAGGAUCAACAGGAUUUGCAAUAAAAAGUGAAAAAUAAAAAGAGCAAGCUGUAUAGAGAAGUUCACUUAUAUUUGGAUACGGAACCUGUCCAAGUAUUAUGGUUUGUCAAAUCUCGUGUCCAAAAAUGCCGUGCUUCUGUUAAGGUCGUGUUGUAGUCAACAUAGCUUGUGUGGUUUUGUAUAGCAAACUGUUUUGAUAUUCUCUCUUGGGAGCUCUUUUUUGGUCCUAAGGUUCAGAGUUUUUCUUGGCUAGUCUAUAUUUGACAAUGAUUCAACAAUUUAAUGAUAAUGUUAGUAUUAUGCCAUUUAAUUACUCAUAUGCUUGGUCACUGAGUUGAGUCUGAACCUACUUGAGGUGAAUGAGCUUUUUCCACCCCAGCUUGAAAGGCGGC
Nicotiana tabacum (common tobacco) is the source of this 938-nucleotide non-coding RNA. The record is from RefSeq and is a predicted model, not a curated record. NCBI's taxonomy places the organism in Eukaryota, Viridiplantae, Streptophyta, Magnoliopsida, Solanales, Solanaceae.